Small nucleolar RNA from Elgaria multicarinata webbii, 124 nucleotides. RefSeq annotates it as small nucleolar RNA SNORA23. Lineage: Eukaryota; Metazoa; Chordata; Lepidosauria; Squamata; Anguidae. The record is from RefSeq and is a predicted model, not a curated record. The transcript has a single exon.
CCCUUAGUGUGUGUGUGUGUGUGUGUGUGUGUGUGUGUGUGUGUGUGUGUACACACACACACACACACACACACACACACACACACACAUACAUACAUAAACCUGGGAUUUCUCCCAAGCCUGC